AUGGACGUCUCGAGCAGCAGGCCAUACACAUGCAAGUCGAACGGUAACAGGAAGCAGCUUGCUGCUUCGCUGACGAGUGGCGGACGGGUGAGUAAUGUCUGGGAAACUGCCUGAUGGAGGGGGAUAACUACUGGAAACGUGGCUAAUACCGCAUAACGUCGCAGAACAAAGAGGGGGACUUCGGGCCUCUGCCAUCAGAUGUGCCCAGAUGGGAUUAGCUGUUUGGUGAGGUAACGGCUCACCAAGGCGACGAUCCCUAGCUGGUCUGAGAGGAUGACCAGCCACACUGGAACUGAGACACGGUCCAGACUCCUACGGGAGGCAGCAGUGGGGAAUAUUGCACAAUGGGGCAGCNGAUGCGCAUGCGCGUGUAGAGAGGCUCGGUGUAGUCUUAGCGGAGAGGUUGUGUAUACGAGCAUGAGUACGCGAGAGCACGCUACUCGUGCAGCGCGCGUAUACGAGGGUCAGGUUAUCGAAUACUGGCUUAAGCCAGCAGGCGUUGUCAGUCGAUUUAAUCCCGGCUAACUGGACGCAUCGAACGCAGCUGAUCGUAGGGGUAAAUCAGUUACGUAAUCUAAACGAGAUCGUGCAGGCGCCUGACAAAACCAGUCAACUGACAAGAUAGUUUAAAAAAAANG
RNAcentral lists this ribosomal RNA (638 nucleotides) under Salmonella sp. Pratt ave_2007_14. Its description in RNAcentral is "bacterial SSU rRNA". The stretch from base 17 to 366 matches the Rfam family "Bacterial small subunit ribosomal RNA", at positions 42 to 397 of the family's 1533-position model. Lineage: Bacteria; Pseudomonadati; Pseudomonadota; Gammaproteobacteria; Enterobacterales; Enterobacteriaceae. The record is from RNAcentral.